RNAcentral lists this long non-coding RNA (901 nucleotides) under Vitis vinifera (wine grape). Its description in RNAcentral is "long non-coding RNA (VVIN_LNC002701)". Lineage: Eukaryota; Viridiplantae; Streptophyta; Magnoliopsida; Vitales; Vitaceae. The record is from RNAcentral.
GACACCACUACCGACGACGCUACUAUCGGCCGACAGCCAUCUCCAACACCGAUAGUCCUCUCCAUCACAUCCUCUCUCUUCUUUCCUACCCAACAUCACUCACCAUCUCUGUCAUCCUAAACCUCCCAAUCAUUGCCCUAACAGUCAUGGUUGUGCUGCUCGGUCGCCUUAGAAAAUUAUACGACAACAACCUUCCCUACCCCACAUCUACACCAAAGUCAAGUUGAACCCUUCUCGGGUUUAUUCACCUUCUUCCCUACCCAACAUCACUCACCAUCUCUGUCAUCCUAAACCUCCCAAUUGUUGCCCUAACAGUCAUGGUUGUGCUGCUCGGUCGCCUUAGAAAAUUAUACGACAACAACCUUCCCCACCCCACAUCUGCACCAAAGUCAAGUUGAACCCUUCUCGGGUUUAUUCACCUUCUUCCCUACCCAACAUCAUUCACCAUCUCUGUCAUCCUAAACCUCCUAAUUGUUGCCCUAACAGUCAUGGUUGUGCUGCUCGGUCGCCUUAGAAAAUUAUACGACAACAACCUUCCCCACCCCGCAUCUACACCAAAGUCAAGUUGAACCCUUCUCGGGUUUAUUCACCUUCUUCCCUACCCAACAUCACUCACCAUCUCUGUCAUCCUAAACCUCCCAAUUGUUGCCCUAACAGUCAUGGUUGUGCUGCUCGGUCGCCUUAGAAAAUUAUACGACAACAACCUUCCCCACCCCCACAUCUACACCAAAGUCAAGUUGAACCAUUCUCGGGUUUAUUCACCUUCUUCCCUACCCAACAUCACUCACCAUCUCUGUCAUCCUAAACCUCCCCAAUCGUUGCCCUAACAGUCAUGGUUGUGCUGCUCAGUCGCCUUAGAAAAUUAUACGACAACAACCUUCCCGUUCCCACAUCUACACCA